AAUAAUUAAUCACUUUUUAUUCAAAUGCUCUAGAAGGAUUGUUAUCUCUUCCUUCUCAGUGGAUCUCACAACGUGAUCUUUCCUUCUAAUACAGUGUUUGGGAACAGAACAAUUAAGAAUGGACAGAGGAAUACCAUGUGCUGACUGACGAACGCCUGGGUUUCUGAACCAAUUGCCAUCAAGGGGAUUGGGAUUACCAUAAUUUUUGCUGAGACUAAGCCCCACCCCAGUAACCAAAGGCUUAUGGGUGGAAUGCAAGCUAUUGGAAGUAUUUGAAGAUGUGACCAAGGAAGCUAUGAGAAUUGGAAAUGAGGCAGUUGUUUAGAAACGGGCUGAUGUGCUUGUGGUAAGGUGGAAGGAGGAAGGCAGAUGAGGAAAGGAAUGUGCAACUGAAUCAAUUAGCUGUUACUAUGUAACAAACCAUCCCAAAACGCAGUGACAUAAAA
Molecule: long non-coding RNA, 446 nt
Filed under: Pan troglodytes (chimpanzee)
Lineage: Eukaryota; Metazoa; Chordata; Mammalia; Primates; Hominidae
Description: lincRNA
Source: RNAcentral